UGGCCCAAUAAGAUAAAAACCAGAUAUUUAGAACCAAAGUCUCUUCCGUUUAUUAUCAUCCUCUUCAAUGGUUGAUUUAGGGUUUGACUUGCUUCAGUCUCUUCUGAGAAAUAUAACGCCGUCACAGAUUUUAACAACUUCUCUAAGAUGUAUGCCUCUGAUGCUCCAGUUUCUCAAACCGCCGUUAGCCACACAACGUUUGACGCCCGCCUCCUUAGCUUCUGGGAUUUAUGAGAAUCACUAUCCUCUUCCUAGAUGAAAAGAACUGUGAUCGUCUACUAAUCUUUGUGGGACGAGGCUGCCUCAAAGACUUCACCACCAAUUUGGGAGGUACAUGAGGUUUUCCCAUGUGUUGAUAUGGAAGGGAUUAAGAAAAAGGAAAUUGUGUCAAUUGGAGAUCUAAAUAUGUUUCUCUAACUCCAACGAGUAGGUAUAAGCCAACCUUUAAUAAUAUAUAUUUUUAUUAUAACUUAAAAUAGCAAAUUUAUUUUCUUUGUUUAGACAUAGGAGCUGAUUUCCUCUGUAAAGUUCGGAUUGUUUGCGUCUUCUAACAAAAUGGAUGAUCUUUUUGUCUCAUACACCGGAUCCAAGAGGAAGUUGGUGUCCCGACGUUUCAAGAGGUUAUGAUAGGUUACUCCGAUUCAGGGAAAGACGCUGGGAGUCACUCAGCUGCUUGGGAGCUAUACAAAGCUCAAGAAGAGCUUGUGAAGGUCGCUAAGCAAUAUGGAGUGAAGCCAACUAUGUUUCAUGGCCGUGGUGGCAUAGUUAGAAGAGGAGGUGGUCCCACUCAUCAUGCUAUAUUGUCUCAGCCACCGGACACAGUUAAUGGCUCACUCCUGAGUGACAGUUGAUCGUGAAGUCAUUGAGCAGUCAUUGUAUGACAAACUUCUUGUCUCGAAAGAUUUAUGGGCCUUUGGAGAGAAACUCAGAACCAACUUUGAAGAAACCAAGAGCCUCGUGCUCCAGACUCUUGGACACAAAGAUCUUCUUGAAGGGUAUUGCCGCAGGAUUGCAAAACACCGGUUAAAUGAGUGGGUCUCUGAGAGAAAGCAGACUUGAGUCUCUUUUCUGUCUUCCCUUUUAUAGAAUAAUCUCUUUUUUUUUGAAUCGAAAAUAACAACUACGUUUAGAUUACAGUAAUAUUUUAUGUAUCCACACCGUUGAGAAAAAGUUUUAUUCUUGUCGUUGUAUUAAACUAAAUACUGCUCUGUUUCUGAGACA
Molecule: long non-coding RNA, 1221 nt
Organism: Raphanus sativus (radish)
Lineage: Eukaryota; Viridiplantae; Streptophyta; Magnoliopsida; Brassicales; Brassicaceae
Exons: 4
Source: RefSeq, a predicted model, not a curated record